GAUGAACGCUGGCGGCGUGCCUAAUACAUGCAAGUCGAACGAAACUUCUUUAUCACCGAGUGCUUGCACUCACCGAUAAAGAGUUGAGUGGCGAACGGGUGAGUAACACGUGGGCAACCUGCCCAAAAGAGGGGGAUAACACUUGGAAACAGGUGCUAAUACCGCAUAACCAUAGUUACCGCAUGGUAACUAUGUAAAAGGUGGCUAUUCUACCGCUUUUGGAUGGGCUCGCGGCGCAUUAGCUAGUUGGUAGGGUAAAGGCUUACCAAGGCAAUGAUGCGUAGCCGAAUUGAGGAGGUGAUCGGCCACAUUGGGACUGAGACACGGCCCAAACUCCUACGGGAGGCAGCAGUAGGGAAUCUUCCACAAUGGGCGAAAGCCUGAUGGAGCAACGCCGCGUGGGUGAAGAAGGUCUUCGGAUCGUAAAACCCUGUUGUUAGGGAAGAAAGUUCGUGAGAGGAACUGUUCACGUUUCGACGGUAUCUAACCAGAAAGCCACGGCUAACUACGUG
This 512-nucleotide ribosomal RNA is filed under the name uncultured bacterium. RNAcentral describes it as "partial 16S ribosomal RNA". It matches the Rfam family "Bacterial small subunit ribosomal RNA", at positions 28 to 507 of the family's 1533-position model. The record is from RNAcentral.